RNAcentral lists this long non-coding RNA (4630 nucleotides) under Nothobranchius furzeri (turquoise killifish). Its description in RNAcentral is "lncRNA (ENSNFUG00015020465.1)". The record is from RNAcentral. Lineage: Eukaryota; Metazoa; Chordata; Actinopteri; Cyprinodontiformes; Nothobranchiidae.
AUGAGGUCUGAGAGUGAGAGACGCCCCUGGACGGUGACGUCUCUGGCAAGGACACGAACGCCUGACCACCCGGGAACGCAGAACGGCACCUGGAGCACCGUCCCGGGAUGUGGACAAGCGACCAAGUGUGGAGGAUUGGCCUUGGGCCGAGGAGGGCGCGGCGUGUCCAAGGAGCGGAGCUGUGCCACGGGGCUGCAGAGAGACUGGCGGUGUGCGCAGCAGCCAGCGGGCAAGAGGACGACGCUGGAGCCAUGGCGGCAGCACAGACAGGUUGCUGCAGGGGGUCGACUUUGUGCCUGUCAGCCAAAAGGACAAGGUAGGGCAGACUGGGUCCCAGCUACGUGGGUCAACACGGGUCAGCUGGAGCCAAGAGGUGGCUCCUUGUAUUGGACACUGUCCCACCCCUGGUGCUGUACAGGAUGUUUUAGACUGUUUUUAGGACUGCUUUUAUGUUUUUACUUCUUCAGCCUCUAAAGACUUGAACUUUUAGCGGUGUUUUGCUCCUCCAAAUAAAUGACUGGUUUAGUGUUAAGUGGUUCCCCUGCCUGUUCUUUGGACCAUGAGUCGCUUGCUUUCCCCCUUGUAUCCGGAACCUGCAGCCGUGGACGGGCUGCUGCGGGGUGACAUAUACAUACCUUUGGUAGCGUUUUAGUUUUGGGAAUUAAUGUCACUAAGUCUUUGAUUUACGAUUUUAACUGUUUGUUCUUUUUCAAAAUAAAUCUGUUCAUAACAUUUACUAAUACCAAGAAGGUACAGCAGGACCGUAGCACAUUUAUAAAGAUCAAAUUCUACAAACAUGUUCAGUCCUUGUUUUGUAUAAUGUUGACAUUAAGUCUCUAAAAAUCAUCAUGAAAGUUGGAAAAAAUUAUACUGACACAGAGAAAGUGAGACUUUUGAAAACACUGACAGAUGCACCCACAUUUCCUGCCUGCAUGGUUCUUAUGAGUCACUACAUGUUCAUUCCUGAUUCGUCAUGCCCCUGUCAGGUGUUCAUCUCAACAAAGCAACAGAUCCUUCCUCUUCAUUCAAACUCACAAAUGUUCAGCACAUCCUCACACCUCAGUCUGUUCCCUUAGGAAAGAGCUGAUUAAUCUGAGCUUCUACUGAAGUUCAGACUUUAAAAGUGAAAAGAUUUUUAAAAUGACAUUAAUUCCUUUGAGCAUUCCAACAAUAAACAGAGUAUCUAUUUAGCAUCUUACUUCCUCUUUUUCUUCAGUUUCCCAAAACCAAAUUUAUUUUCUCAUUGGGCUUAAACGUUUGGUGAAAAGUUGUGAACAUUGGUGACGUAGUUUUCUAAAGGUCUCAAAACAUUUUUGAGGGUUCCCAAUCCCUUAGCGGAACUGCAGUGCAUUGUUCUGUUAUUGAUGGAAUUUGAGCAAAUCAGAGAACAAAACUGAAUAAAUUUCCUUUUAAAACAUUCACAGAAUCAUCACAGAAGUAUGGAACACACCUGGUACUUCAGUAAGUGAUGUUUCUAUUAGUCGACUUGUUGGGGGGGGGGGGGGGGGGGGUAAUUUGCAAGGUAUAUUUAAUACACUGUAAACAAUGCGACAGUCGUGUAUGUUUUCUUGUAAGAAUUUAAUCACAAUUGCAUUAUGUGUCUCAGCCAUGCAAGAAUUCUUGCCAAAAUGAUGAUUAAACAGAGUAUUUGCUUUUUUCCUGAAUUUUUUUGUUUAAUACUUUUCAUCUACUUUGAGAAAUUAAAGAGAUAUUAGCUAGAAAUUUCCCCUGAAGUUGCUUUUUGUCGUUUUUCUGUCAUAAACAUUUUUUAAAUCAAGAAUUAAUAAAAAAACACAUUUGUGUCUUUUGCAGCUUCCCUAAAGUUUAUCAGAUGGGCAAGUGAUGAUUUAUGAUCAUGAUUUAACAUUAACAUAAACUGAAGUUUAUUUUGCAGCUUAAACUAAUAAAACUGCAUGGUGGCGCAGUGGUUAGCACUGUUGCCUCGCAGCACGAAGGUUGCAGGUUCGAAACUUGGCUGCGGCCUUUCCGCGUGGAGUUGCGUGUUCUCCCCAUGCAUGCGUGGGUUUCCUCCGGGUACUCCGGUUUGCCCCACAGAUCACAACAUGCCCUAUAGGUUAUAAAUUGUAAGUCGCUUUGGAUAAAAGCGUCUGCCAAACAAAUAAACAUAAAACUAAUGAAAGUACUGCAAGGUAAAUCUGAAAAGUGCAUGGCUCUCUUUUAUUUAAUUUCUAAGAAACUUUUAAGAGUCUAUUUUUAAAUUACUAUUUUCUUUUUUCUUUAUUCACUUUUUUUUUACUCUUAGCUGCAGUUUAACCCGAUUUCCCUCAACUUUAACAACUGUUUAAGUAACAAGUUUGAAGGAAAUUUAGAGAGCUACAAAGUAAUGAAGACUCAUCUCUUCUUCCAAACGUUUCCAUCUCUGAUCCUACGUUUUAUCUCAGAAUGCCUCAGGAUGAGCAUUUUGUUCACAGAGAAUGAGAAGUUCAGUUAUUCUAGUAGCAAGUGUGACAGCCUGCAUGAUGUCAGCAUGCCAACACCACCCGCACAAAUGUCUGUGCUUUUAUUAAACUUGUCAGAUGAGUUCCUUCUGUGCUUGAUGCCAUCUGUGGUGUGUCCUCCCUCUGCUUGAUGACCCUCAGAAACAUCGGUGCAAACUGCAAAUCAGUCAUCCCGCCAACAGUUCAUGAGCAAAUCAGUUUAACUCAGCUGUUGGCUAAUUUCUACAUUUUAUUGGUUAUUUCUCUAAAACUUCAAUUUUGAUACACUUUGAAGACUAACUCUUGUUGGGUUAACGGUUAUGUACGUCUGGAUCAUUUGUCAUAAAAUGUGCAUUUUUUUCUCUUUUGAAUUUAAGUAAAAUAAUAAGUAAGCCAUGAUUUUUAAACCCUUUUCCUUUCUGACACUAUUCUGACACAACAAGUCAGUGACUCAAUGCAGUCCGCUGGGUUUUCUUACACGGGAAACUUUUAACUAAUUGGAAUAAUGAACUGAACUCAAUGAAAUGAUUAGUUGGAGUGUUUACUUUGUGAAGUGCCUUGAGACGACUCAUCUUGUGAUUUGGCGUUACAUAAAUAAACAGAAUUGAAUUAAAUUUAAUUAUAAAACAUUCAACAACUUUCAAAAUAAAACACGUACAGAUUUCCAAUGACAAUAAAAAAAUGGUAUUCCCUGUGAUGCCUCCUUGUUGGAGGUCUAAAAAACGUAAAAAAAAUAAAAGCUAGAGAUCUUUUGGAUGCUGUUUUUAUUUAUUUAUUUGUUUGCUCUUGCUUGUUACUUCCUUGAAAUUGUGAACUCAUGCAUGAUCUUGCAUUUCUUCUGUGGUAUCGCAGGACCAGCUGUGUGGAAUGCACUCGUAGCCACUCCACAUCUGUAAAGCUCUCAGUAGGAAGGGAUGCACCACUGAUGUUCAGGUGAAAGUGCUUUUUCUAGAUCACGUUUCCGGUGGAAAGCCUGGGUAAGGAGGAGGACUGAUACGUAAACUGGCUUACAUUAUUGGGUUAUCACAACAAUUGGUAUUUAAAAAUGUUGUCUAUUUUAAUGGAAAAACUCUUCAGAUGAGAAGUGAAAGGUCAUCAUUUGAACAUAAGGAAUGACUGAAAACCUUUUUAGUUUAGAAGUUUAGAUCAUUUAAUAUAAGAACUUUACUGGGCAUGCUUUCCCAUCAUGUGUCCCAGUUUUUCACUUCCAUUACUUUUUAAACUUAGUUUUUGCAGGUUGCAUGUUACUUAAGGUAAGAAAUAAUAAUGAUUGUUGCUCUUUCCUCUGAUACCCUCUAAAUCUCAUAUUCUGGCUCCUCAAGAGUGAAUUUCACCUUUGCUGAAAAACACACAAACAUGGCGGUGGUACGAUCGAACCUCACACUGAUUUAUAUGGACUCUGGGAGGGUAUUUUUGGCCUGCACUCUGAUAAUUGAUGUUCCACUGUAAUGUAGAUUGGUCCCUCCAACAAAAUAUUGCUAAGCUCCACUGUUGAAGCAGAGCAUGUUUUCUUGGUGAAUGUUUGGCAUUGACACAAAGCAGAUUCGAGGUUUGUCAUUGGUAUCUCCAUACCGCACAUAAAAAAGCGUCUUGAAUAAAGUGAAAUGUGUUCGCUGUAUUUCUUGGGCCCAGUCCCUCAGAGCGGGCCAUUCUGAUCUAAAAUUCAUUCAGUAUUUUACAGUGGUGCUGCCAUAAAUCCCACACAAGCCCCCGUUGGGUUUUAGCAGUAGUAGGAUCAACUGUGACAUCCAUUUACAAGAUAGCAUGAAAGAUAAUAAAUUUGAACUGAAUUUGUCAUUGAAAAGACAAAAGAGGAAGCCUGGAGUCACAUUUCAUCUCUGCUGCUGCUAACUGCAGCAUCUUGGCUGAAAAGAUCAGUGAUAAAAAAUGCAAUCCAUCAACCAGCAGCUGAUGGCUUGUACUAGGCAUUUUCCUUAUUUUAAUGAUGUUUGUAUACAACUGUGCAGAAUCUGAUCUGUUCAAUGGGCAUGAUGGUAUCGUCAAAGUUGCUCUCAUUGUGUGUGUAAACAGAGAAUAAAGCACCCUGCAAACAGACAACGUCACAUGGACGUGCAGUAGGGGCUGCAUGACAUAAUUUUUUUAAAGUCGACAGUCAAGUAAUGAAAAUCGAGUCGACUUUGACUAGUCGCUGAUGACGUCAUACACCUGAAGCGGAGCGCGGGGGGGGGGGG